CCUACGGGAGGCAGCAGCGGGGAAUCUUAGACAAUGGGGGCAACCCUGAUCUAGCCAUGCCGCGUGAGUGAUGAAGGCCUUAGGGUUGUAAAGCUCUUUCAGCUGGGAAGAUAAUGACGGUACCAGCAGAAGAAGCCCCGGCUAACUCCGUGCCAGCAGCCGCGGUAAU
This 169-nucleotide ribosomal RNA is filed under the name uncultured bacterium. RNAcentral's name for it is "partial 16S ribosomal RNA". It matches the Rfam family "Bacterial small subunit ribosomal RNA", at positions 338 to 524 of the family's 1533-position model. The record is from RNAcentral.